GGUGGCUCAGUUGGUUAAGCAUCUGCCUUUGGAUCAGCUCAUGUGGGAUCGAGUCCCACCC
This 61-nucleotide transfer RNA is filed under the name Ailuropoda melanoleuca (giant panda). It matches the Rfam family "tRNA", at positions 6 to 65 of the family's 71-position model. From Rfam's summary of the family: Transfer RNA (tRNA) molecules are approximately 80 nucleotides in length. Their secondary structure includes four short double-helical elements and three loops (D, anti-codon, and T loops). The record is from Rfam by way of RNAcentral. Lineage: Eukaryota; Metazoa; Chordata; Mammalia; Carnivora; Ursidae.